Molecule: long non-coding RNA, 845 nt
Organism: Topomyia yanbarensis
Lineage: Eukaryota; Metazoa; Arthropoda; Insecta; Diptera; Culicidae
Exons: 2
Source: RefSeq, a predicted model, not a curated record
UGUUGCUCAGUAUCAAACAUAGAACUUCACUUUUGAUUCAUAUAUUGAACCACUUGAAAAUUUAUUUUGAUAAAAACAGAUGAUCGAAUACAGUCGAGCACGUUCGAGCUUGCACAUUCUUGGGUGAUGCCAGUUUAACAUGCUUGUUUUUCUAGUUGCCAGUUUUGCGGUUUUUACAUCCGCGAGUCUAUUACUAUGAGUGUUUAUACGGCUAGUGACAACAGCCUCUUCCUGAAAAUGAAAUGUUCUUAAGCCGUUUGCAUCGUAUCCUAUUUUUUCCUAGUUAAUUCUAUUUUAUGUUAGUAGUAACACCUUUCAUGUGUGACCCGUGAUUAAAGAAACAAUGUUCUCAAGCGGAAGAAUCGACCAGACAGUUUAUUCAUCAUAUUGAAUUGAAUCGUUCGAAAAGGGCAUAACACUACUACGCUACAAAAAGUGCUUUUGAUGUCGACAUCAGUAUCUCUUACACAAUAUGCUGCUACUUGUUUCAAAGGACUACCCUUUUAGGCGACACCCCAAUUAACUGGGUACAUUGAGUUUAGUUACCAUGAUAAUACAGCACUCAUUCGACAACCCAAACGUAUUGGGUAGCCAAACUCGGAAUGUACUUCUUUCAGAAGCAGCAGAGGAAAUUAAUAGCAUUAGUGCUAAUUGCUGUAUGUAUCCAGUGCCUCCCACGAAACUUUAAUGCCGGUUUAUUGCUGUAUAGUGGGGCUGAUCGAUAGUAACCGAUCCAAGAAGACAAUCGGAUGCCGAUGGAGAGUGCGUCUUUUGUUUUUGGAUAGGGUAUGGAAAUCCGCAUGAGAAGUGUGCUUUUGAGAAACAAUAAAAAAGUAAAAAAUUUG